RNAcentral lists this ribosomal RNA (254 nucleotides) under uncultured bacterium. Its description in RNAcentral is "partial 16S ribosomal RNA". It matches the Rfam family "Bacterial small subunit ribosomal RNA", at positions 524 to 776 of the family's 1533-position model. The record is from RNAcentral.
UACAGAGGUGCCAAGCGUUAGGCGGAAUCACUGGGCUUAAAGCGCGUGUAGGUGGGUCGUUAAGUGUCCGCGUGAAAUCCCACGGCUCAACCGUGGAACUGCCGGGCAUACUGGCGAUCUUGAGGCAUUCAGGGGCGAGCGGAACAAAUGGUGGAGCGGUGAAAUGCGUAGAUAUCGUUUGGAACGCCAAAGGUGAAAACAGACAGCUGGGAGUGUGCUGACGCUGAGACACGAAAGCCAGGGGAGCGAACGGG